GUUCCUUACCGGGAGUCGCCGGCGCCGUCGCCUUCCCGGCGCCGCCCCCGCCCCUCCACGCGGGGCCGGGGGCAGAAUGGGCUUCUCGCUUCUCCUCACGAAACAAAGAAGCAGCCGCCGCAGCCGCCGAGCGAGGGUACUGUGCAACUCCUCUGCCCCCAUGGAGGUUUCUAUUCUAAAAAAAACAGACAAAGAAACAUUAACCUGUGUGAUGAAUCGCCAAGAGGAGAUUAGUUCAAAACACAAGCCUGGAGAAUUUUCUGUUUUCUUCAAAGCUGGCCUGCUGGUUCUUCGUGCAGAGACUGCCAUCCAUCUAAGCUGCUCCACUGCAGAGGUCACUUCUCUUUUAACUCUUCUAGGUUAAAAACCUCACAGAAGAGAUGGCCGGCCUGGAUGAAGUCAUAGCUAAGCUGACCAAGGAGAAGAAGGCCCUCCAGGAGGCCCAUCAGCAGACCCUGGAUGACCAGCCAAGCUCCACCACAGGUUCCAGGCUGGUUCCAACAAUGGCGGCAUUUCUUCGGCCUUUCCAGAAGACGUCAUGGAAUGUGAAGUCAAGUGGACCUGAGGAAGCAUCGCUACGAACAAAACUAGAGGAGGUGAUGGAAUUCCAGUUGAGCUAUUUCAAAUCCUAAAAGAUGGUUGGAUGGCGUCACCAACUCAAUGGACAUGAGUUUGAGUAAACUCCGGGAGUUGGUGAUGGACAGACAGGCCUGGCGUGCUGCAGUCCAUGGGGUCGCAAAGAGUCAGACACAAAUGAGCAACUGUACUGAACUUCAUAUGUGAUGAAACCUCCAUAAAAACCCAAAAGGAUGCGGUUCCGAGAGCUUCCAGAUUGCCACAUCCCCAACUCAGAAGCUCCUGUGUUCAGGACCUCGCCUUGUUCAUCUGUUCAUCCAACUGUUGAUUCAGAUCCUUUCAUAACCUUUGUAGUGAGCCAGUAAUCUAGGAAGUAACAUAUUCCUCUGAGUUCUGUGAGCCGCUCUAGAAAAAUAAUUGAACUCAAAGGGGUCGUAGGUACCUCUGAUUUACAGCCAGUCUGUCAGAAGCACAGAGGACAGCCUGAACUUGCAAUUGGUCUCAAAGGGACUGGGAGGCAGUCCAUUGGCCAGAGACCUUGACCUGUGGGUCUCAUGCUGCCCCCAGGUGGCCAGUGGGGAGCAAUGUGGAUGUUCUCAAAACACACGGUUGUGCCUUUGACCUGCUCUCAGUCCCGCUCCCCCCAGGGACUAGUACAGAGGCGUAAUUCUGUUUCACCCCCGUCAAAGCACUGCCAGGGCUGGGGCAAUUUCCUGGUGGCAUCUGUCAAAAGCUUUAAAGACAUCGAGGGAAUUCCCUGGUAGUUCAGUGGCUAAGACUUCUGAGCUCCCAAUGGAGGGGGCCCAAGUUCAAUCCCUGGCCAGGGAACUACAUCUCACAUGCCUCAGGAGUUCCCGUGCCACAGCUAAAGAUCCUGCAUCUCGGGAAUUCCCUGGCAGUUCAGUGGUUAAGAAUCCACCUUGCAAUGCAGGGGACUUGAGUUCAGUCCCAAGACUCUCUGCUUCCACUGCAGAGGGGACAGAUUCAAUCCCUAGGGAAUUAUGAUCCCACAUGCCACGGAGCAACUAAGCCCACGGGCCACGACUGCAGAGUCUGUGCACUAAGACUCUAAGCUAAGA
Budorcas taxicolor (takin) is the source of this 1655-nucleotide RNA transcript. It is a transcript of the gene named myosin-2-like, with no coding region annotated. The transcript is spliced from 3 exons. The record is from RefSeq and is a predicted model, not a curated record. NCBI's taxonomy places the organism in Eukaryota, Metazoa, Chordata, Mammalia, Artiodactyla, Bovidae.